GAGUAAUUUGAAGUUAAGCUAGUUGUAAUUGGGGUGUGGCUUCCUUUAAAGGGUGCAUGUGAAGGUGAUAUGGGCCAGGAAAGGUCCGUUAGAGCACAUGGAGAGCACAUGAUUUGGAAUGCAUGGGACAUGUGAUUAACAAUGGAGGGGACAGUGAAGCAGCACCAAAUGUACACCAUGUUCUGCACAUUCCCUGCAUGGAAC
RNAcentral lists this long non-coding RNA (204 nucleotides) under Lathyrus oleraceus (garden pea). Its description in RNAcentral is "Pisum sativum (pea) long non-coding RNA (PSAT_LNC001140)". The record is from RNAcentral. Lineage: Eukaryota; Viridiplantae; Streptophyta; Magnoliopsida; Fabales; Fabaceae.